CAAUGGCUCAGCUGGUAAAGAAUCCGCCUGCAAUGCGGGAGACCCAGGUUCGAUUCCUGAGUUG
Molecule: transfer RNA, 64 nt
Filed under: Capra hircus (goat)
Lineage: Eukaryota; Metazoa; Chordata; Mammalia; Artiodactyla; Bovidae
Also listed under: 1 other name
Rfam family: tRNA
About the family: Transfer RNA (tRNA) molecules are approximately 80 nucleotides in length.
Source: Rfam by way of RNAcentral